RNAcentral lists this ribosomal RNA (200 nucleotides) under uncultured bacterium. RNAcentral describes it as "partial 16S ribosomal RNA". It matches the Rfam family "Bacterial small subunit ribosomal RNA", at positions 8 to 204 of the family's 1533-position model. The record is from RNAcentral.
AGAGUUUGAUCAUGGCUCAGAACGAACGCUGGCGGCGUGCCUAACACAUGCAAGUCGAACGGGAUUAAGGGGCUUGCUCCUUAAUCUAGUGGCGCACGGGUGAGUAACGCGUGGAUAACCUGCCCUGGUAUCUGGGAUAACAUCUCGAAAGGGGUGCUAAUACCGGAUAAGCCCACGAGCUCUUCGGAGCUUGCGGGAAA